Molecule: long non-coding RNA, 2226 nt
Organism: Herpailurus yagouaroundi (jaguarundi)
Lineage: Eukaryota; Metazoa; Chordata; Mammalia; Carnivora; Felidae
Exons: 7
Source: RefSeq, a predicted model, not a curated record
GCGCGGAUUGGGCGCCUGGGGCUGUGCGGGACGCCGGCGGCAGCUCUCCCUCCAGCGCCCCGACGCUGCCCCUAUUCCCGCCCACUCACGGAGAGGGAAACUGAGGCGCGCCGCAGUUGCCACGCUGGAGGGGACCAAACGGCAAGGAACCGAAUGCUGCCAACAUCUAGUGAGUGAGUUUAGACGCAAAUCCUUCCCCAGCCAGCCUGCGAAUGAGACCACAGCCCAGGCCGACAGCCUGUGAGAGACCCUGAGCUGGAGGAGGCCACGCCCAGACUCCUGCCCCACAACAACCGGGCCACAGCAAUGUGCUCAAGCUGACAGCACUGUCCUCAACAGCAGCCCUACACAGUAUUGAGUGCCACAUCCUCCAAAGCAGGAGAGCAGCCUUCAAAUGCUGUAUCCCAGGCACGUGGCGCUCGUCCCUGACUCACCACCAACCUUUCCACUCUACACCCACCUGCAUCCUAUAGUAAUUCCGGAUGCCAGCCCAUCGUCAACUCACCAGGCCUUGCUCGUGCCGUGUCCUCUUCCCACGUCUGCCUCGCUCACGUACGCAUUGUAGUUUCGUGGUUGUGUUUUGAAAAGGAAUCCUCAUCUUUUGAGAGCCUCAAACCAGCCUGUUUGCAGAUGAAAUGAUCCGAUGUCGGGGAUUUGCUUCAAAGUCAUGGCGGUCUCUAAGAGGACAGUGAUUCCCCGGGACCAGCUUAUUAAAAGCAAAAAAAAAAAAAAAAAAAAAAAUCCAGUGGCAGAGGGGACGUGGGGGACCUGGAUGAGAUCUGUGAAGCCUCGGUGGAUGCUGUGUGGGAUCUAUGAGAACCCCAGGCCCCGAGGAGGUCCGUGGGGGUCCCCGAAGGCAGAGCUGGUGCUGAGCUGUACCCCCAUCUGGACAACGGAUGGCCCUGAUCCUCUCUGCUCAGAAAUGCCCAGUGCGACAGACGGAUGUGUGUGUCCCCACCGCCCCCCCCAGCAGGUCCACAAGGUGAAACCUCACCCCCAGCGGGAUAGUGUGAGAAGGUGGGGCUUUGGGGAGGCGACUGGGGGAUGGGGGCGGAGCCCUCAUGAGUGGGAUCAGUGCCCUGAUGAAAGCGACCCCACGGAGCUCCCUGCGGGCUUGCACCGUAUGAUGACAUCCGGGUCAUCGGCCACUGAAUCGGCUGGCCCCCUGACCUGGGACAUCCCAGUCUCCGGAACUGUGAGAAAUACAUCUGCGUUGUCUCUGAGCCGGUCCUACUGGGGCCUUCUGUCCUAGGAGCCCAAACCCUCCAAGACAUGCAGCGUGACGUGCUCUGGGCCACAUUCUUCAUGCUCGCAACCUCCCGAUGGGGCCCGCGGUGCACAAAGCGGCCCAGUGAGAGAACACACCCGCCUUCGCAGCCCUGGCUUCCAGAUGGUGCCGGCCUGGCCUCCAGGUUUCCACGGUGGGGAAGGGAUGCCCUCCCCGCCCUCUCGAGUCCUCGAGACCCGCUGGUUCCAGUCUCUGGCCUGGUGGCGGAGAGGGGAAUGCUUUUUCCCGCCUUCCUCCGGGCUCCGUGACACAGGCACCUGGGUCACAGAUGUGUCCCGCAGGGAGACAAAGGUGGCGAUGACCUAACCACCCCCACAGCGGGCAGUUCCUUGAAAAGGCGUGAGUCCCCAGCUCUUUCGGAAAGCAGCUCGGCGGAGUGUAUCAGGGGCCUGGAAAGGUGGACGCUUCCCUGUCCAGCGAUCACACUUCUGGGAAUUUGCCCGAAGGAACUAAUCCUAAAAAAAAGAGAAAAGAAAGACCACACACCCAGGGAUAUCUACCAAGCUCCCAGCCGCAGUGAAAAAAUAGAUUCUGCAUCGUAACCCAGUAUACGCGGAUGCUGGCGUAUAACUAAAUAGAAAACUUAUGCAAUGCUACUUAUUAUAAGAAAUGCCAUCUGGGGUUGUCUCUUGGAUGCUGUCCUUCCCCGUCCUAUCCUGUCUGUCCUGUCCUAUCUCAUCCCAUCCUGUUCUGUUUAAAAGGCAAGGUGGCUGGUCAUGACCCAGUCAUAUGGCUUCAUGUCCCACCGCUUGGCGUGACCUUCGAGGAAGCAGGUACCACACAUGUUCCCGUUCGGUGUCCGUUGCCCAGCCCCACCCCACCCCCUCCCGGCUCUACAGCUUGUCUUUGCCCCUGGAGGAUUUCACAGCCCGAUCUCUGGAACUGGACAGACGGGGCUGGGGCCAUUUUGUCCUCCUAAAUGGUGGCAGAGGAGUUUC